GCUAGCGACGUGCCUAAGGUAUGCAAGUCGAAUGCCGAUUUAUCGGCAUGGCAGACGGCUGAGUAACACAUGGGAAUCUACCUCAAACUCGAGAAUAGCCCAUCGAAAGGUGGUGUAAUACUCGAUAGUUCCGUUUACGGUAAAGCUCCGGCGGUUUGAGAUGAGCCCAUGUCCUAUCAGGUUGUUGGUGGGGUAAUUGCCUACCAAGCCUAUGACGGGUAGCUGGUUUGAGAGGAUGAUCAGCCAGACUGGGACUGCGAUACGGCCCAGACUCCUACGGGAGGCAGCAACUAGGAAUCAUGCGCAAUGGACGAAAGUCUGACGCUGCGACGUCGCGUGAGGGAUGAAGGUCUUAGGAUCGUAAACCUCUUUUAUCUGGGAACAAGUUCUGAGUGUACCAGAUGAAUAAGUGCCUGCCAACCACGUGUCAGAAGCAUCGGUAAUGCGUGGGGCACGAGCGUUAUCCGGAUUUACUGGGCGUAAAGAGAUGCGUAGGCGCCUUUUUAAGUCACUUGUAAAAUCUCCCCGCUCAACGGGGAAACUGCAAGUGAUACUGAAUUGGUUGAGUCAAGUAGAGGAGAGGGGAAUUCCUGGUGGAGCGGUUAAAUGCGUUGAUAUCAGGAGGAAUACCAAGUGCGAAGGCACCUCUCUGGACUUGUACUGACGCUAAGGCUCGAAAGUGUGGGGAGCAAAACGGAUUAGAUACCCGUGUAGUCCACACUGUAAACGAUCCCUGCUAGAUGUUUGC
This 748-nucleotide ribosomal RNA is filed under the name uncultured organism. RNAcentral's name for it is "bacterial SSU rRNA". It matches the Rfam family "Bacterial small subunit ribosomal RNA", at positions 35 to 827 of the family's 1533-position model. The record is from RNAcentral.